GGCCUUAUAGUUCAGUUGGUUAGAACAUACCACUCAUAAUGGUAAUGUCGGAGGAUCGUGCCCUCCUAAGGCUA
This 74-nucleotide transfer RNA is filed under the name Diphylleia rotans. RNAcentral's name for it is "tRNA-Met". It matches the Rfam family "tRNA". From Rfam's summary of the family: Transfer RNA (tRNA) molecules are approximately 80 nucleotides in length. Their secondary structure includes four short double-helical elements and three loops (D, anti-codon, and T loops). Lineage: Eukaryota; Collodictyonidae. The record is from RNAcentral.